This 2062-nucleotide long non-coding RNA is filed under the name Mytilus galloprovincialis (Mediterranean mussel). Lineage: Eukaryota; Metazoa; Mollusca; Bivalvia; Mytilida; Mytilidae. The record is from RNAcentral.
UUCCUGUAUAACAGUCUGACAUAUAAGUUCAAUUUCACUUUUGAGAAUUAUUAAAAAGAACAAGAGAAAAAAAUAAUGCUGUCAUUAUUUGGAUUAUUACUGCUAAACAGAUUUGACCUUGUUGGCAUAUAUGAUAUAAUAUUGUGGUUCUAUAAGUUUUUAGUUUGUGGUUUACAAAUAUUUUUCCUCAACAGAAAUAUAUAUUUUUGUUUUAUACAUGAACAAAAGUUCAUUUUUGUGAGGAACCAUAAAAUCUGCAUAAUCUGGUUCCCAAGAAACAAUAAUACUGUGACAUCAUUUUUUUAUCUUUUCCCUCCAACACAUUUGUUUUAUUCCUUCCUUUACUCAUUGGGAAAAAAUAAAAAGAAAAAAAAACAAAGAAAAAUAAAUGCUGAUUUUUUGGCUGCAUUUUAAUUACAGAAGCCACCCAGUUUCUCAGAAUGAAUAUUUCUCCUACUCAGUAUAUACUGGCUGUAGAUGAACGUUCCACAGGUAUGAAUUAUCAAUCAGAAAUGAAUUUCUCCUGUGGUAAUUGAGCCAUUUACUAUAAAAUCUAAUGAAAUACUCAUAUGUGUUAUGGUGUUAUGAAUGAGAAUGUAUUGUGUAUUGUUGUCAGUAUGUCCCGUCAGGGGCCCUUAAGGAGGCUCGCGGGUACAAAAAUUUCAGCAAAAAAUUAAACAAUUGUUUUUUCAUAACAAAUUUUAUUUAUUACACUAUUAGUUAUUACUUUGUGAUAUGAUACAAAAAUUAACCAAAAAAAUCGAUUCUGUUUGGCCCCAGAUGACUUUUAAAAUGUUUAUAUCAUUGAAGAAGCUCCAAAUUUUUUUGCCAUUAAAAUUGAAAUAUCUUUUUUUACUCAUCGGUGACCUAUAUUUUUUAUUAUUGUUUUCAAAUAAGCUAUACAUUAACUAAAUUAUUGUAAAAUUUAAGCAAUUUCUGUAAUUAAGUUCUUUUUUUAUUUCGAUAUUAAUUUACCUCUUUUUCUCCUAUUAGUUCAACAGAAAAAAAGUACCUUUACAAAUAUGUAUGCUUCUUUCGAAGGCAGAUUGUGAGCGUAAAUGAUCGGUGACCCCUCUUUUUUAUUUUAUUUUUCUAUUAGGUAUAAGAUAAAGUUCAUAUAUAGAAAAAAUUAGCGGAAUCUUAUAUUAAACUAGAGGCUCUCAAGAGCCUGUGUCGCUCACCUGUUACUGUAUUUACUGAUGUCAGCCAUCUUGGUUGGUAGGCGGGGUCAUUAGACACUUUUUUAAAUAGAUACCCUAGUAAUUAUUGUGGCCAAGUUUGGUUAAAUUUGGCCCAUAGUUAUAGAAAAGAAGAUUUUUGUACAAGUUACAAAAAUGAAAGAAAGUUGUUCAAUAUUGACUAUAAAGGGCUAUAACUCCUUAAGGGGUCCUCUAACAAUUUUGAUCAUGUUGACUUAUUUGUAGAUCUUACUUUGCUGAACAUUAUUGCUGUUUACAGCUCAUCUCUAUCUAUAAUAGUAUUCAUGAUAAUAACCAAAAACUGCAAAAUUUCCUUAAAAUUACCAAUUUUAGGGCAGCAACCCAACAACGGGUUGUCAGAUUCAUCUGAAAUUUUGAGAGGGGAUAGAUCUUAUUCUGAUGGACAUUUAAAUCUUGAAAGAUUUGCCCUAAAUGUCUUAGUUUCAAAGAUAUAAAGCUAAAACUGCAUUUUACCACUAAGUUCUAAUUUUAGCCAUGUCGGCCAUUUUGUUUGGAAGGCGAUGGCAUGGGACACAUUUUAAAAUUUUUUAAACUAUAUACCAAAAUGAUAAUUGUGGCCAAGUUUGGUUAAAUUUGGCCCAGUAGUUUCAGAGAAGAAGAUUUUUGUAUAAGUUACAAAAAAUGACGAAAAGUUGUUAAAAAUUGACUAUAAAGGGCAAUAACUCCUUAAGGGGUUGACUGACAAUUUUGGUCAUGUUGACUUAUUUGUAGGUCUUACUUUGCUGAACAUUAUUGCUGUUUACAGUUUAUCUCUAUCUAUAAUAGUAUUCAAGAUAAUAACCACAAACUGCAAAAUUUCCUUAAAAUAACCAAUUCAGGGGCAGCAACCCCACAACAGGUUG